Molecule: transfer RNA, 128 nt
Filed under: Penicillium arizonense
Lineage: Eukaryota; Fungi; Ascomycota; Eurotiomycetes; Eurotiales; Aspergillaceae
Rfam family: tRNA
About the family: Transfer RNA (tRNA) molecules are approximately 80 nucleotides in length. Their secondary structure includes four short double-helical elements and three loops (D, anti-codon, and T loops). Further hydrogen bonds mediate the characteristic L-shaped molecular structure. tRNAs have two regions of fundamental functional importance: the anti-codon, which is responsible for specific mRNA codon recognition, and the 3' end, to which the tRNAs corresponding amino acid is attached (by aminoacyl-tRNA synthetases). tRNAs cope with the degeneracy of the genetic code in two manners: having more than one tRNA (with a specific anti-codon) for a particular amino acid; and 'wobble' base-pairing, i.e. permitting non-standard base-pairing at the 3rd anti-codon position.
Source: Rfam by way of RNAcentral
GCCCGGCUGGCGCAAUGGUAGCGCGCGAGACUUCUACGGAAGACCCUUCCUUCGGGAACUUUGAUAGGUUGCAAUACCUUGGGUUGUAGUGUAUCUCGAGGCUGCGGGUUCGACCCCCGCGUUGGGCU